Molecule: ribosomal RNA, 60 nt
Filed under: Finegoldia sp. BIOML-A1
Lineage: Bacteria; Bacillati; Bacillota; Tissierellia; Tissierellales; Peptoniphilaceae
Source: RNAcentral
UAUGGUGAUAAAAGCAAGAGGGAUACACCUGUACCCAUGCCGAACACAGAAGUUAAGCCU